AGGAAGCAGCAUAGCCCCUAAGCCGUCGGUGUGUGGUAUAUGGGUGAGAACGUUUGUGGGAAGAGCUAUAGUAGUAGCAGGUGGAGGUAUAGUAACAGUUGGGGUAGCAGCAGCAGCUGAACUCAUCACAGAAAUUACAUAUAACAACGCAUCACCUCAGGCACUUGCAGCAGUACCAACAAUAGCAGCAACUACAGCAGUGAUAGUAGUAGCACGGUAACAGCACCAACUGCAGCAGUAAAAAAGAAGAAAACUGCAGCAACUGCCGUGAUAUCAAAAGCAAGAACACAGUAAAACUAGAGGCUGCAGCAGCAACACAGAACAGCACCAACUGCAGCAAUAGCAGUACAGUAACAAUUUAAGCAGCAGUAGCAACACGAUGACAGCAACUGCUGCAGUAACAACUACACCAUCUGCAGCAGCAGAAACACGGUUACAGCAGCACUAACUACAACAGCAGGAUUACAGUAAUAGCAACAGUAGCAGCAACAAACUGAAUCAGAAGCAAAUAUUGGUUGUGUGUUAUGUGCGAGAAAAAAGUACCAGUAAUAUACGAGGAUAUUGAUGAUUAAGCCAACUUUGCUUAUAUCCUCUCGAAAAUGGGGGCGUUGUAGGUUAGAGGAAUUCGAAACUGAUAUAAUAGUGUGCAGUUUUGAAGGGGAAUAAAGAAUAGAUAGUAAUUGUGGUAGAUAGAUAGAUAAGUGAGGAUGUAAGGAAUGAGACAAGUAAAGAAAUACGGUGUGAGGGAGUAUUUAUAGCAAGAUAGAGAGGAAGGUAUGGAAUAGAAAGAGUAACGGAUAGGCCAGAGAGAAGAUAUAGAAAGUAGGAAAUAGACGAAGAAAAAACGAUUACUGGAUUGACAGACAGAAGGAUAUACUAUGUCAUAAAAAGAGACUGAGAGAGAAAAAAAGGUGGGCUGGACAAGAAACUGAUAAGGGGUAAGAAAUGGAAGAGGUGAGAGUGAGAGAGACUGAAGGCAGUCAAAGAAAGACUAAGGAAUGAAAAAUUUAACAGAAUGAGGUGGGGGCAAACAGAGAAAGGGAGAUAUAAUAAUAAAGGGAAGGGGAUUUGUAAAGAAAUAAGGGUGGGAGGAAAGGGAGAGAGUGAGAAAAAGACAGGGUAGAAGAGAGAUGAAGAUAAGGACAACAAGGAAGAGAGACAGACAAUGAGAGAAAUGUAGACAGAAGGAAAGCCAGAGGAUAAAGAAGAGUGUGUGUGUGUGUGUAGGACUAAGAGGAGAAGGAUUAGGGAAAGAAGGAAACAGGAAGAUAGAAAGGCAGAAACAAAGAAAGAGUAGGUAAUAAGAGAGGUGGAGCAAGAGAGAAACGUGUGUGUGUGUAACUACAAGAAUUUCUAUGUAACCGAAUGGUGGAGAGCAGUUUGCCAUAAGAAACAAUAGUUUGAAAUUAAUUCUUUGCAGACAAAAACAUGGUACAUCACAACUAUAAUGUAACUGUUAAAUGUUUACAUAUUUACUUAGAAUAGUUGAGUUAAUGCUCACUUAUUUAGGGCAUUGAAAAGUUAACUGGAAAUGAUCAGAUUCAUUUAUAGAGUGUGUGUUUAAAGGCUGGGCAGACUAAUUGGUGCAUAUAUAUACAUUCACACAAAUAUGCAUAUACCUAUAUCAUGCAUAUAUGCAUAUAUACGCACUCAAGUAUAUCUAUUUAUCUCUCUAUAUACACAUAUAUGCACAGAUAUAUGCAUUUAUAUACAUACACACAUGCAUAUAUAUGUGCAUAUUGAUAAGCAAACGUGUGUGCACACUCAGACACAUGCACACAUAUAUGCAUAAUAUAGAUAUAUAACACGCAUGUAUACACAUAUGUAUAUGUACACACACACACACAAGUUUGAAAAGUGCUUAUGUAUGUGUGUAUGUGUCCGCGUCUGAUAUUAAAAAACACACAGAGAAUACUUUAUUAGCUGAAUCACUGAAGGACCAAGUGUUUCGUUCCAUGCACUUAUCAAACUUUUGAAUGUGCUUCGGAUAGAAAAUGGAUCCCUGGGCAACUCAUCACUCGCGCGCGCGCACACACAUACUCGCACGCAUGCACACACACUCAUCACGCAUGCACACAUAUUACAUAUACGUAUAUGUGUGUCUAAAUAUGUAUGUAUGCAUACACACACACGUUUAGGUUUGGUGAUGCAAACAGGAAAAUAGAACUCAAAACAUGAUCUUAUAUAGAUAUACGAUCUUUGCUUUAAUAACUUCUGCCGAUU
This 2223-nucleotide long non-coding RNA is filed under the name Octopus sinensis (East Asian common octopus). RNAcentral's name for it is "uncharacterized LOC118761086". Lineage: Eukaryota; Metazoa; Mollusca; Cephalopoda; Octopoda; Octopodidae. The record is from RNAcentral.